RNAcentral lists this small nuclear RNA (303 nucleotides) under Erinaceus europaeus (western European hedgehog). RNAcentral's name for it is "7SK RNA". It matches the Rfam family "7SK RNA". From Rfam's summary of the family: 7SK was discovered as an abundant small nuclear RNA in the mid-70s but a possible function has only recently been suggested. Two independent studies have found that 7SK RNA binds the CDK9/cyclin T complex (known as elongation factor P-TEFb). P-TEFb activates transcription by phosphorylating the C-terminal domain of RNA polymerase II. The record is from Rfam by way of RNAcentral. Lineage: Eukaryota; Metazoa; Chordata; Mammalia; Eulipotyphla; Erinaceidae.
GGAUGUGAGGGCUAUCUGGCUGCGACAUCUGUCACCCCACUGAUCGCCAGGGUUGAUUCAGCUGAUUUGGCUGGCUAGGCGGGUGUCUCCUUCCUCCCUCACCGCUCCAUGUGAGUUCCUCCUGAAGCUGCACGCUCGGUCGAAAGGACGACCUUCCCCGAAUAGAGACGGACCAGUCUUCCGUCAAAGGUAUACGAGUAGCUGUGCUCCCCUGCUAGAACCUCCAAACAAGCUCUCAAGAAACUUACUGAAUAGUCCUGUAUAUACUUUAUCAAAUUUUUUAUUUAUAAAAAGGAAACACUU